This 447-nucleotide ribosomal RNA is filed under the name uncultured bacterium. Its description in RNAcentral is "partial 16S ribosomal RNA". It matches the Rfam family "Bacterial small subunit ribosomal RNA", at positions 29 to 522 of the family's 1533-position model. The record is from RNAcentral.
AACGAACGCUGGCGGCAUGCCUAACACAUGCAAGUCGAACGAGAUCUUCGGGUCUAGUGGCGCACGGGUGCGUAACGCGUGGGAAUCUGCCCUUUGGUCGGAAUAACAGUUGGAAACGACUGCUAAUACCGGAUGAUGACGAAAGUCCAAAGAUUUAUCGCCAGAGGAUGAGCCCGCGUAGGAUUAGCUAGCUGGUGUGGUAAAGGCGCACCAGGGCGACGAUCCUUAGCUGGUCUGAGAGGAUGAUCAGCCACACUGGGACUGAGACACGGCCCAGACUCCUACGGGAGGCAGCAGUGGGGAAUAUUGGACAAUGGGCGAAAGCCUGAUCCAGCAAUGCCGCGUGAGUGAUGAAGGCCUUAGGGUUGUAAAGCUCUUUUACCCGGGAUGAUAAUGACAGUACCGGGAGAAUAAGCCCCGGCUAACUCCGUGCCAGCCGCCGCCUAA